This 497-nucleotide ribosomal RNA is filed under the name uncultured bacterium. RNAcentral describes it as "partial 16S ribosomal RNA". It matches the Rfam family "Bacterial small subunit ribosomal RNA", at positions 28 to 507 of the family's 1533-position model. The record is from RNAcentral.
GAUGAACGCUGGCGGCGUGCCUAAUACAUGCAAGUCGAGCGAACAGACGAGGAGCUUGCUCCUCUGACGUUAGCGGCGGACGGGUGAGUAACACGUGGAUAACCUACCUAUAAGACUGGGAUAACUUCGGGAAACCGGAGCUAAUACCGGAUAAUAUCUUGAACCGCAUGGUUCAAUAGUGAACGACGGUUUUGCUGUCACUUAUAGCUGGAUCCGCGCCGCAUUAGCUAGUUGGUAAGGUACCGGCUUACCAAGGCAACGAUGCGUAGCCGACCUGAGAGGGUGAUCGGCCACACUGGAACUGAGACACGGUCCAGACUCCUACGGGAGGCAGCAGUAGGGAAUCUUCCGCAAUGGGCGAAAGCCUGACGGAGCAACGCCGCGUGAGUGAUGAAGGUCUUCGGAUCGUAAAACUCUGUUAUUAGGGAAGAACAAAUGUGUAAGUAACUAUGCACGUCUUGACGGUACCUAAUCAGAAAGCCACGGCUAACUACGUG